RNAcentral lists this transfer RNA (60 nucleotides) under Raillietina tetragona. Its description in RNAcentral is "tRNA-Ala". Lineage: Eukaryota; Metazoa; Platyhelminthes; Cestoda; Cyclophyllidea; Davaineidae. The record is from RNAcentral.
AAUGAGAUAGUUUAAAUGUUUAAAGAAUAUUAAGUUUGCGUCUUAAUGGUAGAUUGAUUC